UGAAAGCCAGCUUUGCCAAACAUACCU
RNAcentral lists this non-coding RNA (27 nucleotides) under Rattus norvegicus (Norway rat). Lineage: Eukaryota; Metazoa; Chordata; Mammalia; Rodentia; Muridae. The record is from RNAcentral.